RNAcentral lists this ribosomal RNA (933 nucleotides) under Triticum aestivum (bread wheat). Its description in RNAcentral is "partial small subunit ribosomal RNA". The record is from RNAcentral. Lineage: Eukaryota; Viridiplantae; Streptophyta; Magnoliopsida; Poales; Poaceae.
AUGCCGCCAGUAGGAGGAGGAGAUGAUUGCACGGAGCACGAUUCCCCGCAGGCGAGCGGCCACCAUGGCUGCCCCGAGGACGUUCCGUCUUCUUCGCCGACGCUCCCCGUCAUUGCUUCUGUAGCUCCCGAGAAGAAGAAGAAGAAGAAGAAACAGAAGCGCAAUGGCGAGCAGCAGCCCGCGACAAGCCUCCCCGGCGACAUCGUCAUCGAAAUCCUGUCGUUGGUGCGUUACAAGUCGCUCUGCCGUUUUAAGUGCGUGUCCAAGCAGUGGCUUGACCUUUGCUCCGGUCUCGACACCCACAAGAGGUCGCCGCAGACCCUAUCCGGCCUCUACUUCUUGGACGAGGAACGCCAAGGCCUCAGUUUCCAUGAUCUGACCAGGGGUGGCCCCCGUCUGGUCGAUCCCGAUCUCUCUUUCUUGCGCCGGAGCUACGAAAGCUUAGAGGUCACACAAUGGUCUAGCAGCCUUCUCCUUUGCAUGUGCUGGAAGAACUCGUACUCACCGCGGGUAACAGUGGACAAAGAGGGGAAGAUUUGGAGAGAAAUUAGAGUGCCACACUUCGACGCCAUUGGGCUGUCUCAGGGAUGCUUGCAUGCUUGGCGUGUAGAUGUUCUUAAUGGUUGCCAAUUCUCUCUUUGGGUUCUUCGGGAUUAUGGUAGCGAGAACUGGACUCUAAAGCACACUGUCAAUGUUCUGGAAUUAUUUGGAAGUCAUUGUCGCAAAGAUCAUGAGUCCUACAUGGUGUUGGCCAUUCAUCCAAAUUGUAAUCUGAUUUUCCUUACCGAUGGGGAGAUGACAGUCUCGUAUGAUACGGAUAAUCGGAAACGGGAGCAGAUGAGCCUGGGCACGGAGUUGGAUUUCUCAAAGGGAGUGCUGAGUUUCUGCUCCCGAGCUCAUCUGCAACCCCGCUUAGAAAACAAUUCAAAAUGA